This is a long non-coding RNA of Meriones unguiculatus (Mongolian gerbil), 933 nucleotides long. RefSeq lists it as uncharacterized. The transcript is spliced from 6 exons. The record is from RefSeq and is a predicted model, not a curated record. Lineage: Eukaryota; Metazoa; Chordata; Mammalia; Rodentia; Muridae.
CAGAAUGUUCCAGUUGGUCUCAUCCAUGCUGUUCAGUAAAAAAGUCUGAAUCAAAGGCUUCUCUUUCAUUUUAGGUUCUGCAGUCAAGAAGUAAAAUUCAAGCCAAACCUCAAGAUUAAAGAAAAUGAAACAGCUCUCUGAAGCCACACUGUACAGCUCAGAGACCUCUCUGCAGUAGCCAAGUCUGAUUCAAAGGACCCACAUGGGCUCAGAACACUGUGAAACUUCACUCCCAUUGAAUCAGCAAUGUCUUCUACAGUAUCCUGGAACCAUUUUACACUUGCGUGCUGAGAUCAUGUACAACGGCCAAGUCUGACUCAAAGGAUCCACAUGGGACUCAGAACACUGUGAAUCUUCACUCCCAUGGAAUCAGCAAUAUCUUCUACAGUAUCCUGGAACCAUUUGUGCACUUGCGUGCUGAGAUAAUGUACACGGGCCAAGUCUGACUCAAAGGAUCCACAUGGGCUCAGAACACUGUGAAACUUCACUCCCAUGGAAUCAGCAAUAUCUUCUACAGUAUCCUGGAACCAGUUGUUCACUUGCAUGCUGAGAUAAUGUACACGGGCCAAGUCUGACUCAAAGGAUCCACAUGGGCUCAGAACACUGUGAAACUUCACUCCCAUGGAAUCAGCAAUAUCUUCUACAGUAUCCUGGAACCAUUUGUGCACUUGCGUGCUAAGAUAAUGUACAAGGGUUCUGCAGUCAAGGAGUAUAAUUCAAGCCGAACCUCAAGAUUAAAGGAAAAUUAAACAGCCCUCUGAAGGCACACUGUACAGCUCAGAGACCUCUCUGCAGUAGUACGUGGUAAAGUCCUCAUGGCCUUUUGGCAGGCAGCUGGGUAGGAGCUCCUGAGAGGAUGAACACCCCUCCAGGUGCUGGAUCUCAAAGUUGCCUGCUUUCCUGUCAUGGCUCUGCUCUCUCAGAUCUCCAUGC